This 1056-nucleotide ribosomal RNA is filed under the name Streptomyces sp. LK1134.4. RNAcentral describes it as "partial 16S ribosomal RNA". It matches the Rfam family "Bacterial small subunit ribosomal RNA". Lineage: Bacteria; Bacillati; Actinomycetota; Actinomycetes; Kitasatosporales; Streptomycetaceae. The record is from RNAcentral.
ANCACUUGCGNACACGGCGUGCUUAUUUUUGCAAGUNACACGAUGAAGCCCUUCGGGGUGGAUUAGUGGCGANCGGGUGAGUAACACGUGGGCAAUCUGCCCUGCACUCUGGGACAAGCCCUGGAAACGGGGUCUAAUACCGGAUAUGAGCCUGGGAGGCAUCUCCCGGGUUGUAAAGCUCCGGCGGUGCAGGAUGAGCCCGCGGCCUAUCAGCUUGUUGGUGAGGUAAUGGCUCACCAAGGCGACGACGGGUAGCCGGCCUGAGAGGGCGACCGGCCACACUGGGACUGAGACACGGCCCAGACUCCUACGGGAGGCAGCAGUGGGGAAUAUUGCACAAUGGGCGAAAGCCUGAUGCAGCGACGCCGCGUGAGGGAUGACGGCCUUCGGGUUGUAAACCUCUUUCAGCAGGGAAGAAGCGAGAGUGACGGUACCUGCAGAAGAAGCGCCGGCUAACUACGUGCCAGCAGCCGCGGUAAUACGUAGGGCGCAAGCGUUGUCCGGAAUUAUUGGGCGUAAAGAGCUCGUAGGCGGCUUGUCACGUCGAUUGUGAAAGCCCGAGGCUUAACCUCGGGUCUGCAGUCGAUACGGGCUAGCUAGAGUGUGGUAGGGGAGAUCGGAAUUCCUGGUGUAGCGGUGAAAUGCGCAGAUAUCAGGAGGAACACCGGUGGCGAAGGCGGAUCUCUGGGCCAUUACUGACGCUGAGGAGCGAAAGCGUGGGGAGCGAACAGGAUUAGAUACCCUGGUAGUCCACGCCGUAAACGGUGGGAACUAGGUGUUGGCGACAUUCCACGUCGUCGGUGCGCAGCUACGCAUNAAUUCCCCCCUGGGGAAUCCGCCCAAGCUNAACUCAAAGAUUGACGGGGCCCCCNACCGCGGAACUUGGUUAUUCACCACCNAAACCUNCAGGUNACUNCCGNAAAUAAANUGCCCCUUGNCGGUNNGGGGCUGGUNCNNCUNNNNNAUGGUANCCCCNCCACUNUUNUNCNUCCUNGGNGGNCANACCGGNANNGAGGGACAAAAUCCUUUNUNCCUAGCCANNNNCGGGANAANUUU